GGGACCCUCACCUUCCAGGAGGAUGACAAAGAACUUGACUGCACAGCAGAAACCAGGAUACAUACCAUCACCACUGUUUCUCUCUUUGAGAGGUGUUUGCUGGCUCCAAAGAAUAUCUGCCCAUGAAAGUUUAUGCUUGGGAACUCCAUCUUGGACAGAAAGACCCUUAAGAAGGAGAUGGCUUGGAAACGUCUGGAAAUUGUGGAGAUGGCUAGCUUCCACAUGAACGGACAAAGAACUGGAGUGGAAAAGCUGCGACGGGGGUAAAAAACAAAAACAAAAAA
Long non-coding RNA from Camelus dromedarius (Arabian camel), 284 nucleotides. RefSeq lists it as uncharacterized. NCBI's taxonomy places the organism in Eukaryota, Metazoa, Chordata, Mammalia, Artiodactyla, Camelidae. The record is from RefSeq and is a predicted model, not a curated record. The transcript has 3 exons.